This 670-nucleotide ribosomal RNA is filed under the name uncultured Bacteroidota bacterium. Its description in RNAcentral is "SSU rRNA". It matches the Rfam family "Bacterial small subunit ribosomal RNA", at positions 245 to 915 of the family's 1533-position model. Lineage: Bacteria; Pseudomonadati; Bacteroidota. The record is from RNAcentral.
GUAGUUGGCGGGGUAACGGCCCACCAAGCCAACGAGCAGUAACUGGUGUGAGAGCACGACCAGUCACACGGGCACUGAGACACGGGCCCGACUCCUACGGGAGGCAGCAGUAAGGAAUAUUGGUCAAUGGACGCAAGUCUGAACCAGCCAUGCCGCGUGGAGGAUGAAGGCCCUCUGGGUUGUAAACUUCUUUUAUCUGGGAAGAAACCACUCUUUUCUAAGGGUGUUGACGGUACCAGUUGAAUAAGCACCGGCUAACUCCGUGCCAGCAGCCGCGGUAAUACGGAGGGUGCAAGCGUUAUCCGGAUUCACUGGGUUUAAAGGGUGCGUAGGUGGGCAGGUAAGUCAGUGGUGAAAUCUCCGGGCUUAACCCGGAAACUGCCGUUGAUACUAUCUGUCUUGAAUGUAGUGGAGGUGAGCGGAAUAUGUCAUGUAGCGGUGAAAUGCUUAGAUAUGACAUAGAACACCCAUUGCGAAGGCAGCUCGCUACACUAUUAUUGACACUGAGGCACGAAAGCGUGGGGAUCAAACAGGAUUAGAUACCCUGGUAGUCCACGCCCUAAACGAUGGAUACUCGACAUCAGCGAUACACAGUUGGUGUCUGAGCGAAAGCAUUAAGUAUCCCACCUGGGAAGUACGAUCGCAAGAUUGAAACUCAAAGGAAUUGACG